CCCUUAGAUGUUCUGGGCCGCACGCGUGCUACACUGAGUAAAUCAAUGGGUAAGGGAACACGAAAGUGCAACCUAAUCUUGAAAUUUGCUCGUGAUGGGGAUCGACGGUUGCAAUUUUCCGUCGUGAACGAGGAAUACCUUGUAGGCGCGUGUCAUCAUCACGCGCCGAAUACGUCCCUGCCCUUUGUACACACUGCCCGUCGCUCCUACCGAUUGAGUGAUCCGGUGAGGCUCUGGGACCUGGACGGAAAGAGCGUUUCGCUUGUUCUGUUUGGGAAACUUGGUCGAACCUUAUCAUUUAGAGGAAGGAGAAGUCGUAACA
RNAcentral lists this ribosomal RNA (322 nucleotides) under uncultured eukaryote. Its description in RNAcentral is "partial 18S ribosomal RNA". It matches the Rfam family "Eukaryotic small subunit ribosomal RNA", at positions 1470 to 1796 of the family's 1831-position model. The record is from RNAcentral.